GCAACAGCUCAAAUUUGAAAUCUGGCUACAUUUCGUGGUCCGAGUUGUAAUUUGUAGAGGAUGCUUUUGGUGAGGUGCCUUCCGAGUUCCCUGGAACGGGACGCCAUAGAGGGUGAGAGCCCCGUACGGUUGGACACCAAACCUCUGUAUAGCUCCUUCAACGAGUCGAGUAGUUUGGGAAUGCUGCUCUAAAUGGGACCUAUAUCUCUUCUAAAGCUAAAUAUAGGCUAGAGACCGAUAGCGCACAA
This 248-nucleotide ribosomal RNA is filed under the name Huntiella moniliformis. Its description in RNAcentral is "partial large subunit ribosomal RNA". It matches the Rfam family "Eukaryotic large subunit ribosomal RNA", at positions 101 to 347 of the family's 3401-position model. Lineage: Eukaryota; Fungi; Ascomycota; Sordariomycetes; Microascales; Ceratocystidaceae. The record is from RNAcentral.